GAAGAGGGAGAGCUUGUCGUCCAUGGGAUCGCUCCGCAUCAUCCUCCUCUCGAUAAGCUGGUUGAUUUGCCCGUUCACGUCCUGAAUCUGGAUGAGAAAAGAGGACGACCCACUGUAAGCCAGGGCAGGCACACUCAUGCUGAUCCACAGAGGGGUAACACACUGUUACGUGACACAUGCCUGGUGGGGAUGGUGAUGAACAUCCAGGAGGGGGCAUUAAACCAAAUGAGCCGAGGGCCUCGUUGGGGCACCAGGAGGCUGACCUUGUCCUCCAGCUCCUCCAGCUCGUCCUGCCCCAUGGCCGGCUCCAGCACCACCCUCUGCAGAUACUGCACCACCCGCCGCCUGCUCUCCAGCUCCUUAG
Paramormyrops kingsleyae is the source of this 364-nucleotide long non-coding RNA. RefSeq lists it as uncharacterized. The record is from RefSeq and is a predicted model, not a curated record. Lineage: Eukaryota; Metazoa; Chordata; Actinopteri; Osteoglossiformes; Mormyridae.